RNAcentral lists this ribosomal RNA (775 nucleotides) under uncultured Neocallimastigales. Its description in RNAcentral is "partial large subunit ribosomal RNA". It matches the Rfam family "Eukaryotic large subunit ribosomal RNA", at positions 23 to 634 of the family's 3401-position model. The record is from RNAcentral. Lineage: Eukaryota; Fungi; Neocallimastigomycota; Neocallimastigomycetes; Neocallimastigales.
AGAGAGAGACAUGCGCGCAUAUCAAUAAGCGGAGGAAAAGAAACUAACUAGGAUUCCCUCAGUAACGGCGAGUGAAGCGGGAAGAGCUCAAAUUUGAAAUCUUCAAGGUUCUACCUUGACGAAUUGUAGUUUAAAGAAGUGUUUUCUGCUGAAGUUUUGGUAAAAGUUCUUUGGAAUAGGACAUCAUAGAGGGUGAGAAUCCCGUAUUUGACCAUUAUUUUCAGCUUUGUGAUACACUUUCAAAGAGUCGGAUUGUUUGGGAAUGCAGUCCAAAAUGGGUGAUAAAUUUCAUCUAAAGCUAAAUAUUGGCGAGAGACCGGAUAGCGAACAAGUACCGUGAGGGAAAGAUGAAAAGAACUUUGAAAAGAGAGUUAAACAGUACGUGAAAUUGUCAAAAGGGAAGCGUUUGACACCAGUGUUGUUUUCUCGAAAAUCAAUUAAAAAUGGCUCGAUUUUGUAUUGUUGAGACCUUAAAAGCUCACUGUACAUUUUUCGUGUCCUUUUUAAUGCACUUUUCGUUUAACAAGUCAACAUCAGUUUCUUUUGUUGUAAAAGGGUCAUUGGAAGGUGGCUUUCUUUUCGGAGAAAGUGUUUAUAGCCUUUGGCCUCUGCAAUCGGAGAGACUGAGGUCUGCAGCGUAGACUCUUCGGGGUUAGAUACAUUUGUGCUAAGUUAUAGCUUUUUAUAGACAACUUGUUGACUAUAAUUAGUCUUGUAGCUUACUCGCUUAUGCUAUUUUACCUACGCUUAGGAUGUUGAAGAUGUAGCACAUCAU